AAUCAACGCUGGCGGCGUGCCUCAGACAUGCAAGUCGAACGAUUAAAGCUCUCUUCGGAGAGUGUAUAGAGUGGCGCACGGGUGAGUAACACGUAAGUAAUCUACCUUCGAGUGGGAAUACCGUCCGGAACGGACGCUAAUACCGCAUAAUGCAUUAGCAUCUUAUGAUGCCAUUGUUAAAGAUUUAUCGCUUGAAGAGGAGCUUGCGGCAGAUAGCUAGUUGGUAAGGUAACGGCUUACCAAGGCUACGAUCUGUAACCGGUCUUAGAGGACGGUCGGUCACACUGACACUGAAUAACGGGUCAGACUCCUACGGGAGGCAGCAGUCGGG
Molecule: ribosomal RNA, 331 nt
Filed under: uncultured bacterium
Lineage: Bacteria
Description: bacterial SSU rRNA
Rfam family: Bacterial small subunit ribosomal RNA
Source: RNAcentral